Brachypodium distachyon (stiff brome) is the source of this 135-nucleotide non-coding RNA. Lineage: Eukaryota; Viridiplantae; Streptophyta; Magnoliopsida; Poales; Poaceae. The record is from Rfam.
UUGUUACUCCCUCGGAUCCAAAUUAAUUGUCGCAGAUUUGUCUAGAUACGCAUGUAUCUAGACGUGUUUCAGUGUGUAGGUACAUGCGUAUCUAGAUAAAGCUGCGACAAUUAAUUUGUAUCGGGGGAAUAUCAU